UUUUUUUUUUUUUUUUUUUAAUUCAGAUUAGUCCUCUACUAAUAAGAUUCCUUUUCUAAAAUUGUAUGCAAGAUCUGAAAUUGAAGUUUAUGGUCAAUUUCAAGUUUCCAAGUUCAAUUCAACAAUAUUUAUUGCAUCUCCGAUUCACUAAGAACUGCAGGGGAUAAGCAGAUGUGAUAAGAUGGUCUGUGCCCUCAAGGAGUUUCAAAUUUAGUAGUGGGAAUAAGACAAAUACGGUGUAAUUACAACUACAAGGAAGAAAGUGAUUCAAAUGCAUGGUCAAGGUGAAGAACCAUUGCCAAAGAGCAUCCAAGAAAUGUCCAAGAGACACUUUGGAUUCUUUGGGAUCAGAAAAGGCUGAAUUCGAGGCAGCAUUGCAAAGUGGGUGUGAUUCCAGUAGACAAAAGAAUUUGGGAGUGAGAGGAGGUGCUUGAGAGGAGGGAGAGAGAGAAAAGCCACAGAGGUGUGAAGCUGCGGGGUGGAUAUUUAAAAUUCAUGAGCAGACCAUCUCCAUGUGAGCUGGAGUAUGGAGUGUCCUGGAGAAGACAAAGGUAGGAAGCAGAUUGAGAAAUGCUGAGGUGGGGUAAGGUAUGAAGAACCCCGAGCUGGAGGCAGGAUCUGGUUCCAUUUGAAUGGUUCUGUGUUUAGCUGGGCCUGGAGAUCUCUGGGGUUUCAGUCUACUUCGAUUGGGAGGAGUCAAGCAGAAAACAAGAACAGGAGCUUAUUAUAGGACAAGAGUAAGUUCAACACCUGAUGAAAUUGCCAUAUUAUCAUCCCCUUGGAGAUAAUUCCGUUAAGCUCCUUUGUUUUCCAGUUGAGGAGGCCUAAAGGAACUGCCCUAUGAUGGUUAUGUGCCCAGUUAGUGGGCUGCUGCCACUCUCAGGUCAGCAGGGCAUCCAGGUGGGGAUGUCCAGCAGGCAGUUUACAAGCAGGUCUGAGGCUGAGGAGCCAGGUCAGGAAAAGACAUGCAAUUCUGAGCAUAAUUUUCAGUAAAGUAAUUAGGGCUUGAGGGCAGGGAGGAAUAUGGAAGGAAAAGGGAGAGUGAUAUUUAGAUGAAAAGAGGGGAAUGUGAAGCCAACAAAAGGGGCAUAGAAUUAGCAUCAGGGAAAUAGGAGAAUCAGAAGAAUUCAGUGAUGCAGACACAGAGGAGAGUCCCACGGAGGAGGGGUCCACCUGCAGAAUGCUCCCUCUCCUGGGGCGGGCUGAGUGUGAAGCCUGAGGAGAGACCCCCGGAGUGUGGCUCUUCUGUAACCUGUGCCUCCUCCUCUUGCUGAUGCAGUAGUGGCGCAGUGGCGGUGCAUCACGAAUGAAUGGCGAGCUCUCCCCCUGAGCUGGGCAGUGCUCUAGGUCUGGCUUUAUAGUCCCUGUUCAUCCAUCAACACAGAAAAUAAUCGCAGUGGAAAGCAGAUAAGACUGGUUUGCUUUCUGAAGAGGAGGAAAAAAAAAGCUUCCAAUUCUAAAAUUUCAAGUGAGACUAAUGAAAAGAAAUAACAUUCCAUAAUAUGACCUUGAAAAAAUAAAAUCAGUAGCUUUAAAUAAGGCCAUAAGUAGUAAUCUUUCCAUUUGUUUAAUCUGAGUCAUUUACAAAUAAAUAACAAUAGUGAUAUUGAGGAUAGUGAGGUGUAAGCAGUAUGUAGAUUAUACCUAUCGUUUUUGAUAUUACAGAUGGGGAAAGGGGAUGAAUGAGGUGUUGUGGGCAGGGUGGGUGGUGGUGGUGGUGGUGGUGGGUGGCGAAGGAGAACACUCUGUAUUUUCCAUUUGGGUAGUGGAGACAGUAUGCUUUAGCUGUUUAGUGGCUCUGCUCAGCAGUAAGAAUACCCAAAAGCAUCACACCUUCCAGAAACCCCCUUGGCUGCCCAGAAAGAGAGAGUUAAUGAACAGGGACAGACGCUACCAACAAAAGAAGAAAUGCUUUAUUUAUUAUUCACUAAUCUCCGGGUCCCUGUGCUACUCAGAAUUAACAAGCUCUCUGGAAUAAAGGUUUAACACCUUCUGGUUUGACAUGGCUGUGCUUCCCCAAGUGAGCACAGUGCCCAGGCCCUCCUGGCCUGCAGAAAGAAGAAUGGAGCCCCCUACUCUUCCAGGCUAUGGAGGUCAUCAGGUACCACCCCCAACCCAAUGUAGGAACUAGCUCACCCCAUUCCUGACAAGAGUUGCCUUGUCUCCCAUGUUGGUAGUGAUGGAGGCUCAUCACCUAAUAAGGUAGCCCCGUUCUGUGAUCUGAUUUUAGGACCUUUGGCAAGUUUUUCCAUGCGUUGAAUUUUCCUUUCUACAGCAUCUAUCAUACCUGGUCCUAGGUCUUAUUUCUUUUAGAUUCCAUCAUCCUCUUCAAGCUCUUUCUCUGUUGACUAUCGAAUUUGUUUUCUUUUACUGUGGUCA
RNAcentral lists this long non-coding RNA (2379 nucleotides) under Canis lupus familiaris (dog). RNAcentral describes it as "lncRNA (ENSCAFG00845012449.1)". Lineage: Eukaryota; Metazoa; Chordata; Mammalia; Carnivora; Canidae. The record is from RNAcentral.